AUGGCUUCGCAGUUCGCAGUCGUGGCUCUUUGCUCCCAGGCGGCAGAGGGGAAUGGAUUUCUGGUGACAGAAUGGGGAUCGGCUCUGCUGUGGGUCAGCUUUGGGGUGGUCUCACCUCUCCUGGAGGGAUUGCUGGACAUCUGCAGAGAUGCUGGGAGCGAGAGCAGGAGCGGGGGGAUCGCUGUCCUUGCAUAGAAAGGUAUUUGCCUCCGUAUCUGCUUGGCUUUCUUACAGAAGGACAAUUGUGGUGGAAAUGGUGGUCUUGGAGUUGGGGUGCAUAGGUGGGCGCCGGGACCGCGUCGCAAAUUCCAUGUUUUGGUCCAAAUAUAUGUUAGGGGUGAGCAUGAGCCUUUUGCAAGCAGGUUUGGAACUGAAGGAGAGCAGAAUUAAUGGAAGAGUCCUACAGAAUAUAGCAGGGUGUUCUCUGCGCAGAUCUUUGUGUUGUCCUGUAGCAUUGCGUCAUCCUAUAGCAUUGUGUUGUCCUAUAGAAUUCCGUUGUCCUAUAGAAUUUCAUCAUACUGUAGCACUCCAUUCUCCUAUAGAAUUCCCAUAGAAUUCCAUUAUCCUAUAGCGUUGCGUUCUCCUAUACAAUCCCGUUAUCCUAUAGCAUUCAGUUAUCCUAUAGAAUUCCAUUAUCCUACAGCAUUGCAUUUUCCUGUACAAUUCUGUUAUCCUGUAGCAUCGUGUUAUCUUACAGAAUUGCAUUAUCCUAUAGAAUUGAACACAGAGCACUUAAAAGUUUGGGUUUUUUUUCCUUUUAUCUCUUUGAUUUUUACUCUUCUGAAGGAAUUAUGAAACAUCAGUAGCACUUGUUUUUAAUUUUGUGACCAAAAGAAAAUCUGGGAUUUUUAUUUUUCCUUCGGGAAAGUGUGAUAUGCUGAUUGAGCAGGAUUUGUUCCAACCUUGAAUAAUGGGUUUAUGAAGGGUUAAUCAAAGCCAAAUAGCAUUAGGAGCGUGUUACAGAUGCACAUCUUGUAGAUAAAAACACCAAAUUGAUUAAUGAGGACCGAGAGGUUGACAAACAUCUGACAGAACUCAAGACAACCCCUAUCAGAUGAGCAGGAAUUCGUUAGGAUGCCUGUUAAUUGUUUCACACAACAGUAAGUGUUUAAUAUAAACAAGCAAAGUACUGCCGACGACAUUACAGCACACAGGGGAAAGCACUGCUGAGAUGUGGGGCUGUUUUUGGGGUGAACUUCCCCAGUCUUGGUGUCCGUCCCCCUUUGCCUCCUAUGCACUGCCUCCAAUUAACUCUUUCGCAUCUUCACGCUCGGCCCCAGUCAGCUCCACUUUGCUUCCCCACAACGCGGCAUCACUGCUCGCAUCGGGAGCUCCCGAAAACUUUCCUGCCUCCUUUCUUUCCUUCUUUCUUUUUUUCUCCUUUUCCUUUUCUUUUUGUCCAUUUGCUUUUCAUUUCCCCAUUCCAUUCUCACUACGGCCUUCCCCACCGGCAAAACCACGGCGACAAAAUGGCCGUCAGGCAGCCAUUUUGUGGGAGCCGGCAGUGGCUGCGGGCAGCUCCGCGUUUCCCUUCUGCCUGCUCCUGCUGGGGCUCCAUGGGGCUGAAAGGACUCUCAGAGGCUCAGCAUUUCCCUCUGGGAAGUCCUGCCCGUGCCCGGCACAUUUUGGCACCGAGCUCAGCGCUGCUGCUAUACAAAGGCUGAAAGCUGCGCCUGCUUUGAACGGAGCGACCUUGUUGUUGCAUGGUUUCCUCCCCCCCUCCUCCUCCAUUUCAUUCAGUUCUCCUUAAUAAGCCAGAUCAGCUCCUCAAAGCUGUUCCAGCUCUUUUCCGAAGCUCCGUAACACCACGAUUUGAAAGGCAGAGGCUCUGCAGGGCCUCUUUGGCCUUCAGACCCACAGACAGUUGUGGGUCCACAUUGAGGCAUCUCCCGGGGUUCCAGUGUUGGCUGCAGUCACUUUUCCAUCUCGAAAUACAAGCAGGAAAGCCAGGGUGGAAUGGACAUUUUGCCUACAUGAGGGAUCUUGCUGGGAAGAAACCUCGCCGUCGUUCACCUGCCAAUUCCUAUUCCACCUUUGGCUCAUUUUUAUGUCCCCGUAUGGAUCUGGAAUGGGAGAACAGCAGUGCUGCCCCCCAAAAAUCUGUGCUCAGAAAAUGGCGUUUUCCUGAUCCAUAGAGAGUCUAAAAAUCUUCCAAAAUUUCAGGUUUUAUGGGCUCAGAAGGCAGUGGAUGGCUUUGGGGUAUGGGCUCCUGACCCCUGCGGACCCUUCUGGCUGUUUUAUGCCGAUUUUUGCAGUGCAGUAUUGCAUUCAGGCACUUGUAAAUGGAGUGGCUCAGUGGCAUUGUGCUGGAAGGGAAGGUUGGACGCCUGGAAACUGGGAAGCCAUGGUGGUGGGAAGGUGCCUGGAGACAGGAGCAGGACCUGCUCAGGGUGCUCCCACUGCCAGCUUUCCUAUGGACCCAUCUCGUGAUCUCUGGCAGAUUUGGUCACAUCGCUGCUUCUUUCCUCAUCUUUAGACCGUAAUCCAUCGUGGAGAGGGGCCAUCCGUACAGCACCAGCUGUGACAGUGGCACAGGGGCCACGAGAGUCACACUGAUCCUUACAGCAUUUCUAAAUUGUCCUAUUUGACUGCUUUCUUUGUAGGUCCUGGCAGGACCAGGAUUGCAGUGUCAGCAGCUCAGUAUUCCUGAAACCUACACUCAUUAAGACAAUUAUCGUAAUUAAAUCUCCUGUUUUCAGGAUUACUUGUAGAAGUCAGAAGGGAUUUUUUUUUUCUUCUCCUCCCCACGUAUAAUUAGAUUGAUGUAAAUGAGGGGCUAUGUAAUGUAAUUUCCCAUCCACAGUUUGGUAUUAACCCAAACUCCUAUUCUCUGCAAUGGUAUCAAAAGUGAGCUUGUAAAGUCCUGCUCCUCUGGUUGGUGCCUGUGGCACCAGGUUAAGCUUUGGGAAGCUAAAACACUUUCAGAUAGAAAACCUGGAGUCAGAAGGAACCCACAAGGAUCACAGAGCCUGACUCCUAAACUUCUGACUAAAUGAAUCCCUCUGUUCCUGAUGGUAACUGCUGCAAAGCUCUGGAUGCUGUUGCAUUAAGCAUUAAGGAGGGAGGUUUAACCGCUGUGCAUCGUUUGCUGAGCCAAUAAAACAGGGAGAAUAUUAUUUCCCAUCAUAAGGCUGUUUGGGAUUCAAAGCGCUUGGCACCGUGGACGGGUCGGGUACUUUAAUGCUACGGGAAUCAGUCCUGCAAUGCUGAUUUUCUGACACUGUUUGUAUGUUAUCACACAGGGAGAGGCCUGGGCCAGAUGGCCUGGCACAGUGGGUCACCCCAAGGCUGAGUUUGUCAAAGGAAAUUAAAAGAAUUAACUGGGUUGUGCUGACUGUUAGUUGAGAAGCAUUUCUGGACAGCUUGGCGAAGGAAUGUGGGCACUUUCCAAGCCUCGCUGCACAGAUAUCCUUUUUCCUGCCCAUCUUAAACUCUCACCUUGGGGAGCCCAGCUACAACAGCUGACCAGAGCUUUGGGUAUCUCACUCAUGCACUCUGUUGCCUGUUAGCUGUGGAAAUGCAAUUCAUUAGGCAUCCUCUGUUCCUUUGGUGAUGUAUGCCUUAGCCCCUGCAUCUCCCAUCCAGCCGUGGGCAGAUGGGACCCCUCCUGCUUCACAGCACUGAGUUCUUUUGGGAAGUCCUUUGGGUCUUUGCUGCGUUGCACAUGCAGCCCCUUCAUGUGCUGCUGAUGACUCCCUUUUCCUUAGAUCCUCCUUUAAUCUCCAAGGGAAAAUCUUUCUCACUGCAAGAGAACCACACACAUCUUCUAAACUGCCAGCAUAAUACCUUGCAUCUGCAGUUAGGUGUACAGAGAAUGAAAAAGGCUCAGAAGGUGAGCCAAGGGCUUGGGGGGAAGCCAGCCUGUCUCUGCUCCCCGCCAAUAGUGCCUGGCUGUGCUGUAGCAUUAAAGGACCUGCAUGUUGCUUUCAUUUGUUUGGGAAAUGAGAUCUGCCUUGAUGUACUCAAUACCAUUACAUGCACGGCCUAAAAGCUUCCUUGUACUCAGUUAUUUCUAAUCUGCUCAGUUCCCUGGAGUGCAUAACAGCUAAAUUGAUAGAUUAUUUUAUCUAGUCUGGCAGGUUUGUUCUAGAUAUGCUGUGUGUUCAAGAGGUGAGGUCAGCUUGCCUGUAUAUUAUUUGGUGCUGCUGCAGCUUCGGGCAGGCUGUGCUUGCUGUGUGCAUGGUCCUGGGCUCAAUCUGCUGCUUCCAUGAGCUCUUGGGUGCAUAAAGUUUGCAACCAGCAAGAUUUUCAAGGAUAUAUUAUAGUCCAAGUGCACUGAAGGAGCUAUAAGGAGGAAAGGGAGCUCCACGACAAGGCUGAGUGUGAGACUUGCUUCUUUCAGCAGCACAAAGUCUGAUGAAUUCUUAUGCAUUUCUCUUCAUAGGAACCACUGAGCAGUCAGUACCUGGAUGAGGAUCAUCUCACUGCCCUGGAUGGCAAUGGUCCCAAGCUGUCCUUGAGGCUGAGGUAGUAGAUUGAAUAGUUGUGGAGUCUUAUCCUCCCUUUGAGCUAACUAUACAAUCUACUGUCUUUCCUAAGGAGACAGUCAGAUCUUCAGCUCGUCUGCUUUGACACAAAGCAUGGAGACAGGUGGUGCAAGGAAUCCUGCUCCUCCACAAAGCAGGGAAUCACAGCAGACCUCUGUACUGCUCUGUGGAGAGCAGCAAUACCACCAGAGGAGAUGCUCAGAGAUCCUGGAGCAAAAACAGCACAUGGCACUAUUGAACAACACAGUGGCUCUUCUCCUGCAGCAUCCAGGAUUGUGUCAUUCCAGGGAAUAACUACCAAAUAUCCACAUAAAGAAAAAUGUAUCUCUCAUUUUUAAUGGCUGCAAGAGAAACAAUGAAAUGAGCUGGCUUAGCCAAGAACUCAAAGCCCCGUGAGCUGAUCAGAUUUUGGCUGGUUGACCCCUGAAAGUCCAUUCUGGUUUUGGACAAGUUCCCAGCUGUCCCAUGGGACAGAGUUACAGGGUGGUUCUUUCUGAUUUGAUAAUCUCUAUCAACCCAACUCACACGCAAACCCUGCUGGAGACAUUUGGGCUCCUAUGUAUUUACGUAAAAUAAGCCAACAAUUCAGACCAGUGCCCCGUCCUCAGGAAACAGGUGAGAAAGAGAGAUGAGCCAAAGGCAGCAAGUCCUGAUCCCUCUUGUUCCUGCCAGGUAGGUGGCACUGACAUCUGACAGCAGAUGCAGGAGAUGACAGCCUGCUUCAGAGCUCUGGCACUUGACAAGGGACAGAGAAUGGUUAUUUCUUCCCUUGGUGAGAAGCAGAUGGGACAACCCCUCCACCACAUUCCAGAGUAAAUAGAAUCCAGAUCACAGGAGGGACUGUAACUCGAUGAGGGCUGCACCAGUUUCUCAAGACUGAAGGAUGUCUCGGGACAUUAUCACCAGCAUCUCACUGCCAGGGAAACGCGUGAGAUGUGAGACACUGAGGAGCAAGGGCAAACCGAGGGCACCUUCUCAGAUGAAUCGGGAGGAAGAGAACUGCAAUAAGAAAUUGGAGCCCUCAAAUUUCACCCUGGAAGUGAAACACGGGGCGACUCAGAGCUGGCUGCUCGGGCUGUGGGACUGCCAUCAGUGAAGCAGCUCAUUUAAGGCUCCUCUGCUGCUUGGGAUAGGGCGUAGCUUCAGCAAGGCUGGGAUGGGACUUCCUCAGGCUGGGCAACAGCUGGAGGGUGGGGAUGUUGGAGUAUCUAGCAGCAGAGGAAUGCAGCCCUCUGCUCCAUAUAUCUGGCUUUCCAGGAGUCAUGGGAACCUGUCACACAAAGCUACAGCUCGCUUCUCUUCUACACAUUCUUUACCUCCUCAAGGGCAGGGCUUCUACCCCCAGCAUUGCUCGGAAGGUACCAAAGCAGCAGCACGACUAUGGGAACAGGGCAGCGCAUCAGCUUCGUGUUUAAGGGGUGUCCCCUGGAAAAGGAUUAAUCCUGUGGGUCCCAAAUGAAAUCGGUUCACUCCCCAUCCACUGCACUGAUGUUAACACAAAGAAUUUUAAGCAGCAAAACGGUAUGAGAUGAAAACCAUGAGUAAAAUACCACUAGAGAUACUCUUCUGUGAAAAUAAACUUGCUUUGAUUAUUGUAUUAUAUAUAUUUUUAAUAGUGUCUUUUACUGCCUUGAAGCAAGCAUGGCUGAUGAGCUGGGGCCAGGGUUGGCUGGUGCUCCUGACUGCGUGUCACCCAGCAAACCCUGCACGUGACCAAAGCCCUGAGCCCAAAGGGGAAACCAGGACAUGACAAGGGGAGGUGGGGUUGGCUGAGCAGCCGAGGCUGUAGGUCCUGCUGUCAGCAGGCACCGUCCUGGGCCCAGGAUGGGAAAUGUGACAGAACUCCACAGAGGCAGCAAGGCCCCGUCCAGCAAGGAUCCUCCAUGCCGGGGAAGGAGUGGCCACAUGGAAACCUCCUCCUCUUUGGGUCCCCAGACUCUUGCAGCAGCUUCGCCAGGCUCCUUUCCUUCCAGGAAUCUCCCACCAACUCACUUCAGUGGCUGAGCAUCCUUCAGGCCGUCCCCAGAAACAGAGCUGGAAAUGCUUCACAAGUUUCCCUUGGAUGUUCCAUGCCCUUCCCUGCUUACCAACCACACUCUCAAUCCACGUUUGCCACGCAGCUGCCUUCCCUCCAUCCCUAAAUCCUCCUGAUUUGGGACUAAACCAAAGCACUCCAAAUCCUCACCUUGGCAGCGCUCAGCCCCGCUGUCCCAGGGCACAGGGGGAAGAGGAAGGAGAAUCUGCCUUCUAGUUUUGAAUUUGCUGCUGCAAGGAACUCUAUAAAUAGUGCUUGCACCAUUCUGUGACUGCAAGUGUCAAAGCUUUUGGGAAAAGAAAACUCAACCAUAAAAAAAAGAUGAAAUACUUAAAAAAAACACCUCUGGAAUGCUUUGCAUGGGCUCAUGCAAACUCUGUUACUGCUGCUCUGAGCCCCACGGUGGUUAUUGAGGUAGGAGAGGGGGAAGCACCCAACAUUGCAAAACAAAUCCGAUGCUGACCAAGUGCUCUCAUUUCGCUGGGAGGAGAAACACUUUUCUGCUCUUUUAAUCAUUGGUAGGGGAUUAAUGAUACGCUCUCCUUCACCCGGGUGGGCAAACAGUUGCAGCCCUGAAGUGCCAUCCCUGCUCUGUCCCUGCUUUACCCCUGGUAGGGCUGCAGGCCCUUGCAACAGGUGAACAACAGCCGCUCUGGCUGGACUUCUGUCACUUGUCAGCAGCUCCAUGCUGGGUGCUUUUCCCCUUGCAGCUUGCAGGAGCUCAGCCAUGCAACAACCCUUAGGAGAAAUCAUUUUAAAAUCUGAUUCUUAACUACACCUGAUGCUUGUGAUUAAACAGAGCGCUGUACAGUGAGGUCAGUGCUGCUCACUCUCCGCAGUGACUGUCCCACUGCCAUCUGCUGGUCACCAUUCAGCAGGGUUAGCAGUGACCGUGACCUAAAAACACCCCACGGGCAGCUGCUUCCUAUCAGGGAGCCGUGCUGCUGUGCUCCUGCAGCAGAACCGCAGGGAGAGGGGAAGCACAGAGCAGCCUCAAAGCAACAAGCAAAGGUCCAACGUCAGCAUCAUUCCUGUGCUGUGGGUUCACCCCUUGCAGUGCCGGUGCUGUGAUGUUCAGUGGGGAAGGGACAGGGGAGGACAUUGCAUUUAGCUUCUUUCAUUGCCACGCAGAUGAAGACGUGCUGGGGUGGGAGGAGGCUGCUCGGCUUCGUAGCAGGGAACCAGAAGCACUCCAGCAUUAAUUUCACCUUGGUUUCUUUUUGCUCUGAGCUCCCUUCAUCUUGCUUUCCUUGCCCACAGAUUCCUGCUGGAGACACAUUUUUGCUCAACACUCAGUUGAUGGAAUAUUCCCUACAAAUAAUAGGGAAUAGGGAUUCUCUAUUCCCUAUCGUGCUGAACGUCCUCCUCCUCCUGCUUUUAAUUGGGCUAAAAACAUAAACCAUAGAAUCAUGGCUUAGGUUGGAGGGGACCUUAAAGAUCAUUGAGUUCCAAAAGAUCAAAAAGCUGCAGAACCCAGCACCCAUUGCUGUCGAGAAGCCAAAAAACAAUAACAACAUUGAGCACUUGGAAGGAGCCAGGGUGAUGUGCAGCAAUUCUACUUAAAUGCACAACCAGGAUUGUUUUUCAGAUACAAGCCGACUUCUGGAGAUCCCCAAAAGAAACCAUGUGCCCCACAGCAGGCUUUCAGAACAGGAUUUAUUCAGUGCAUGCUCUGGAGAUGCACAGCACACAGCAUCAGGAGGAGGACUCAGACAUUGGACUUAUCUCCACCUCAUCUGUUUAAUAAGCCAAAGAAUGCAGCAACCAGAGAAGGACUGGAUCUCCUCGUUCCUUCUGCUGGGCUGCAAAACUUGCCCCACAUUUAACACCCCCUGCUGGGAAUCUUCAGGUGAACAGAGCAGAAACAUGGAGGAAUACAACACACAGUGCUCCAGAGAAUGAAAGCCAUCCUGCAACAAGUCCUGGAAGCACCAGUACCCUCUAACGUCAUUCACUUGGCUCUCUCAAGCUGAAACUGCACCAGCAGACCUGAUUAUUUUUCCUCCUGGACCCACAUAUAUACAUCAACCAGGAUCUGGAUCUAACUGCAAAUACGUCGUACACUUAAGAUCUGCAAAGAGGGAAGCCGUGCAGAAGAAAGGAGCAGUAACUCCUCUCCUGUGCUGGAGGUUUUUCUUCUGUGCAGGCACACACGUGCAGGCACAAGCGUACAAUAAGGGCAUGACAACGGAGUAACUGUUGGAGCAGAAGUGAGGAAGGAGGUAAAGACUGCAGAGGGAUGGCAGGAGAAGGAGUACGUCUAGACACUGGCCAUAGCUCUACCCAGAAGUAGGAAACACAAACCUCUUCUGUGGACAAAAAUGCCAUUUUUGGACAAGGAAGGAAGAGGUGACACUUCUCCAAAACUGAGACAAACAGACACACGAGGAGAGAAAGAGAGCAUUUCUGGUAGAAAUCCAUCCUGAUACACAGACAUCAGACGCAACGAUCGUGUCUUGCCUCCAAACAAAUACCAAAGCCAACCUCCAUGUCCCAUUGCCAUUUGGGUUUCCAGGGCAUUCUGCUUUCCCCGGGACGUGGUGCAGCAGGACCUGCCGGCCACACAGGGCAACGAGAGCUUAUCAUCUCCUAUUGGAAACAGAGCAGAAGCCCAGGCUGGCUAGGAAGAAGGGAGAAGUAUUGGUACCCAAGUUCACUAGCAUGAUGGCAGACACCCUUCUGCCCCUGGGCUGUCUCAGGAAGGGCACUGAGUGCCCAUGUGAUGGCCAGUAGCCCUUGGCACAGCAGGGCUGGAGCGGGUGAGCCAGAGGAAGAAGAGAGUGUGUCAACCUGAACUGCCCGUGGUGUCUCCCAAGCCUACCAGGGUGGUGGGACAACCAUGCUGAAGAAAGCCUUGGCGACCGGUGCAGGGACAGCUGAGAAAGUCUGUUCAAAGCAGAAGGCCCACCAGGAUGACACAGGGCAGGAGGAGGAG
Molecule: long non-coding RNA, 9457 nt
Organism: Lagopus muta (rock ptarmigan)
Lineage: Eukaryota; Metazoa; Chordata; Aves; Galliformes; Phasianidae
Exons: 2
Source: RefSeq, a predicted model, not a curated record